UCUUGGUCAAUUUAGAGGAAGUAAAAGUCGUAACAAGGUUUCCGUAGGUGAACCUGCGGAAGGAUCAUUAAUGAGUCUUUGAAGUGGGUUUGAUGCUGGUCUUUCGAGGCAUGUGCUCGCCCUGUUCUCAUCCACUCACACCUGUGCACCUUACGUUUAAGAAGUGGUUGUUGCCUCCCUUCGGGUUGGCAGGUUAGGGAAACCUAGCUAUGGCCCUUCUUUGCGUUACUUUACACAAACUCUUGAAUGUCAUAGAAUGUAUAUUGGCCUACGGGCUUUAAUUUAAAUACAACUUUCAACAACGGAUCUCUUGGCUCUCGCAUCGAUGAAGAACGCAGCGAAAUGCGAUAAGUAAUGUGAAUUGCAGAAUUCAGUGAAUCAUCGAAUCUUUGAACGCACCUUGCGCUCCUUGGUAUUCCGAGGAGCAUGCCUGUUUGAGUGUCGUGAACAUAUCAACCCCGACGGGAUUUUAAUCUCGACGGUGGCUUGGACUUGGGAGCCUGCUGGCCGUUGUACUUCGGUCGGCUCUCCUUGAAUGCAUUAGCUUGGACUUGUUUCAUGGGCUGCAUAGCGUGAUAACUAUCUACGCUUUGUACUGUCUGUGGGAUACUCAUGAGUCUGGCUUCUAAUCGUCCUCUGGACAAUUACUUUACGUUUUGACCUCAAAUCAGGUAGGACUACCCGCUGAACUUAAGCAUAUCAAUAA
Molecule: ribosomal RNA, 706 nt
Filed under: Peniophorella pubera
Lineage: Eukaryota; Fungi; Basidiomycota; Agaricomycetes; Hymenochaetales
Description: eukaryotic LSU rRNA
Rfam family: 5.8S ribosomal RNA (bases 291-444)
Source: RNAcentral